Molecule: ribosomal RNA, 406 nt
Filed under: uncultured bacterium
Lineage: Bacteria
Description: partial 16S ribosomal RNA
Rfam family: Bacterial small subunit ribosomal RNA
Source: RNAcentral
AUUGAACGCUGGCGGCAGGCCUAACACAUGCAAGUCGAACGAGUGGCGGACGGGUGAGUAAUGUCUGGGAAACUGCCCGAUGUAGGGGGAUAACUACUGGAAACGGUAGCUACUACCGCAUACCAUCGGAUGUGCCCAGAUGGGUUUAGAUAGUAGGUGGGGUAACUGCUCACCAAGGCGACGAUCCCUAGCUGGUCUAAGAGGAUGACCGGCCACACGGGCACUGAGACACGGUCCAGACUCCUACGUGAGGCAGCAGUGGGGAAUAUUGCACAAUGGGCGAAAGCCUGAUGCAGCCAUGCCGCGUGUGUGAAGAAGGCCUUCGGGUUGUAAAGUACUUUCAGCGAGGAGGCGUUACUCGCAGAAGAAGCAACGGCUAACUCCGUGCCAGCAGCCGCGGUAAUAC